RNAcentral lists this ribosomal RNA (645 nucleotides) under uncultured bacterium. RNAcentral's name for it is "bacterial SSU rRNA". It matches the Rfam family "Bacterial small subunit ribosomal RNA", at positions 110 to 753 of the family's 1533-position model. The record is from RNAcentral.
GUAAUACUUAGGAAUCUACCUAGUAGUGGGGGAUAGCUCGGGGAAACUCGAAUUAAUACCGCAUACGACCUACGGGAGAAAGGGGGCAACUUGUUGCUCUCGCUAUUAGAUGAGCCUAAGUCGGAUUAGCUAGAUGGUGGGGUAAAGGCCUACCAUGGCGACGAUCUGUAGCUGGUCUGAGAGGAUGAUCAGCCACACCGGGACUGAGACACGGCCCGGACUCCUACGGGAGGCAGCAGUGGGGAAUAUCGGACAAUGGGGGAAACCCUGAUCCAGCCAUGCCGCGUGUGUGAAGAAGGCCUUUUGGUUGUAAAGCACUUUAAGCAGUGAAGAAGACUCUUCGGUUAAUACCCGGAGACGAUGACAUUAGCUGCAGAAUAAGCACCGGCUAACUCUGUGCCAGCAGCCGCGGUAAUACAGAGGGUGCAAGCGUUAAUCGGAAUUACUGGGCGUAAAGCGAGCGUAGGUGGCUUGAUAAGUCAGAUGUGAAAUCCCCGGGCUUAACCUGGGAACUGCAUCUGAUACUGUCAGGCUAGAGUAGGUGAGAGGAAGGUAGAAUUCCAGGUGUAGCGGUGAAAUGCGUAGAGAUCUGGAGGAAUACCGAUGGCGAAGGCAGCCUUCUGGCAUCAUACUGACACUGAGGCU